Molecule: long non-coding RNA, 523 nt
Filed under: Gallus gallus (chicken)
Lineage: Eukaryota; Metazoa; Chordata; Aves; Galliformes; Phasianidae
Source: RNAcentral
AAAGGACUGUGCCAAAAAGAAGGGUUUCCAGGAAGCAGAAGUGGUCUUGGAGAGAAAACAGGGGUCUCAAAAAGGAAACAGUGAAGAUCCUGGCUGGAAGGAAGAUCCUGGAAGAGAAGGAGAUGGGUGGAGACCAGUGCCAGCAGACCUUGCCCCAGGACUGCUACCUGGAGCAGCUGCCCACUGCCAGCUAACACAGCUCCCUGCUGGAUUUCCCCAGGCCAGCAGCAACCUCCCUGCUGGGAAGGAACUCACCUCACGGACCUGGUGACCCGCAUCUGUAGUGAGAAGUGCAGUCUCCACCUGUUUGGCUGCAGCCUUGCACAUGGUCUCCUGCGGCACUUCUACGGCCUCCCGUCGUGACUGGAUCAGAUGAUGCAGUGUCUCUGCAUGGACCUAUGCAAAAAACAUAAUAGUUCAGCCCUUCGAAAUUUUUCUGCCUAUAGUAAAUCCGACAGUAUAGUACUGUCUAUAGUAUAACAUAGCAUAUCUAUAAGCCCGGGAAAAAAAGUUUGAAAUUGAC